Molecule: ribosomal RNA, 301 nt
Filed under: uncultured bacterium
Lineage: Bacteria
Description: partial 16S ribosomal RNA
Rfam family: Bacterial small subunit ribosomal RNA
Source: RNAcentral
CAGCAGCCACGGUAAAACGUAGGUGGCAAGCGUUGUCCGGAAUUAUUGGGCGUAAAGGGCUCGCAGGCGGUUUCUUAAGUCUGAUGUGAAAGCCCCCGGCUCAACCGGGGAGGGUCAUUGGAAACUGGGAAACUUGAGUGCAGAAGAGGAGAGUGGAAUUCCACGUGUAGCGGUGAAAUGCGUAGAGGUGUGGAGGAACACCAGUGGCGAAGGCGACUCUCUGGUCUGUAACUGACGCUGAGGAGCGAAAGCGUGGGGAGCGAACAGGAUUAGAUACCCCAGUAGUCCCUGUCUCUUAUAC